UUUUUUCAAAGUAGUAUAUAUCAAUAAACCUAGAUAAUGACGAGACGAAUCGAUAUGAUACUUAGUUUUGGGCAUA
Molecule: long non-coding RNA, 76 nt
Organism: Maniola jurtina (meadow brown)
Lineage: Eukaryota; Metazoa; Arthropoda; Insecta; Lepidoptera; Nymphalidae
Exons: 3
Source: RefSeq, a predicted model, not a curated record